Molecule: ribosomal RNA, 497 nt
Filed under: uncultured bacterium
Lineage: Bacteria
Description: partial 16S ribosomal RNA
Rfam family: Bacterial small subunit ribosomal RNA
Source: RNAcentral
GAUGAACGCUGGCGGCGUGCCUAAUACAUGCAAGUCGAGCGAACAGAUGAGGAGCUUGCUCCUCUGACGUUAGCGGCGGACGGGUGAGUAACACGUGGAUAACCUACCUAUAAGACUGGGAUAACUUCGGGAAACCGGAGCUAAUACCGGAUAAUAUAUUGAACCGCAUGGUUCAAUAGUGAAAGACGGUUUUGCUGUCACUUAUAGAUGGAUCCGCGCCGCAUUAGCUAGUUGGUAAGGUAACGGCCUACCAAGGCGACGAUGCGUAGCCGACCUGAGAGGGUGAUCGGCCACACUGGAACUGAGACACGGUCCAGACUCCUACGGGAGGCAGCAGUAGGGAAUCUUCCGCAAUGGGCGAAAGCCUGACGGAGCAACGCCGCGUGAGUGAUGAAGGUCUUCGGAUCGUAAAACUCUGUUAUUAGGGAAGAACAAAUGUGUAAGUAACUAUGCACGUCUUGACGGUACCUAAUCAGAAAGCCACGGCUAACUACGUG